GAUGAACGCUGGCGGCGUGCCUAAUACAUGCAAGUCGAGCGAACAGAUGAGGAGCUUGCUCCUCUGACGUUAGCGGCGGACGGGUGAGUAACACGUGGAUAACCUACCUAUAAGACUGGGAUAACUUCGGGAAACCGGAGCUAAUACCGGAUAAUAUAUUGAACCGCAGGGUUCAAUAGUGAAAGGCGGUUUUGCUGUCACUUAUAGAUGGAUCCGCGCCGCAUUAGCUAGUUGGUAAGGUAACGGCUUACCAAGGCAACGAUGCGUAGCCGACCUGAGAGGGUGAUCGGCCACACUGGAACUGAGACACGGUCCAGACUCCUACGGGAGGCAGCAGUAGGGAAUCUUCCGCAAUGGGCGAAAGCCUGACGGAGCAACGCCGCGUGAGUGAUGAAGGUCUUCGGAUCGUAAAACUCUGUUAUUAGGGAAGAACAAAUGUGUAAGUAACUAUGCACGUCUUGACGGUACCUAAUCAGAAAGCCACGGCUAACUACGUG
This 497-nucleotide ribosomal RNA is filed under the name uncultured bacterium. Its description in RNAcentral is "partial 16S ribosomal RNA". It matches the Rfam family "Bacterial small subunit ribosomal RNA", at positions 28 to 507 of the family's 1533-position model. The record is from RNAcentral.